CCUACGGGAGGCAGCAGUGAGGAAUAUUGGUCAAUGGCCGUAAGGCUGAACCAGCCAAGUCGCGUGAAGGAAGAAGGAUCUAUGGUUUGUAAACUUCUUUUAUAGGGGAAUAAAGGUAUCCACGUGUGGAUAUUUGCAUGUACCCUAUGAAUAAGCAUCGGCUAACUCCGUGCCAGCAGCCGCGGUAAUACGGAGGAUGCGAGCGUUAUCCGGAUUUAUUGGGUUUAAAGGGUGCGUAGGUUGUUUUUUAAGUCAGCGGUGAAAGUUUGUGGCUCAACCAUAAAAUUGCAGUUGAUACUGGAAGACGUGAGUGUGGUUGAGGUAGGCGGAAUGCGUGGUGUAGCGGUGAAAUGCAUAGAUAUCACGCAGAACUCCGAUUGCGAAGGCAGCUUACUAAGCUAUAACUGACACUGAAGCUCGAAAGCGUGGGGAUCAAACAGGAUUAGAUACCCUGGUAGUC
This 460-nucleotide ribosomal RNA is filed under the name uncultured bacterium. Its description in RNAcentral is "partial 16S ribosomal RNA". It matches the Rfam family "Bacterial small subunit ribosomal RNA", at positions 338 to 795 of the family's 1533-position model. The record is from RNAcentral.